RNAcentral lists this ribosomal RNA (619 nucleotides) under uncultured bacterium. Its description in RNAcentral is "bacterial SSU rRNA". It matches the Rfam family "Bacterial small subunit ribosomal RNA", at positions 226 to 842 of the family's 1533-position model. The record is from RNAcentral.
UGGUCAUGCGUCGCAUUAGCUAGUUGGCGGGGUAACGGCCCACCAAGGCGACGAUGCGUAGGGGUUCUGAGAGGAAGGUCCCCCACACUGGUACUGAGACACGGACCAGACUCCUACGGGAGGCAGCAGUGAGGAAUAUUGGUCAAUGGCCGCAGGGCUGAACCAGCCAAGUCGCGUGAGGGAUGACGGUCCUAUGGAUUGUAAACCUCUUUUGUCAGGGAGCAAAGGACGCCACGUGUGGCGUUUUGCGAGUACCUGAAGAAAAAGCAUCGGCUAACUCCGUGCCAGCAGCCGCGGUAAUACGGAGGAUGCGAGCGUUAUCCGGAUUUAUUGGGUUUAAAGGGUGCGCAGGCGGAAUGUCAAGUCAGCGGUAAAAUUUCGGGGCUCAACCCCGUCGUGCCGUUGAAACUGGCGUUCUUGAGUGAGCGAGAAGUAUGCGGAAUGCGUGGUGUAGCGGUGAAAUGCAUAGAUAUCACGCAGAACUCCGAUUGCGAAGGCAGCAUACCGGCGCUCAACUGACGCUCAUGCACGAAAGCGUGGGUAUCGAACAGGAUUAGAUACCCUGGUAGUCCACGCAGUAAACGAUGAAUACUAACUGUCCGGGCCGAUUGAGGUCUGG